This 141-nucleotide ribosomal RNA is filed under the name Triticum aestivum (bread wheat). RNAcentral describes it as "partial small subunit ribosomal RNA". Lineage: Eukaryota; Viridiplantae; Streptophyta; Magnoliopsida; Poales; Poaceae. The record is from RNAcentral.
AUGGUGUAUAUAUGCAUGCAAACUAGAAAGACCCCCCCCCACACACACAAAGAGAGAGAGAGAGAGAGAGAGAGAGAGAGAUGGAGAGAAAGGGAGAGGGACCGACAAGGUUUUUGUGUUGGAUGCGUGCGACAGAAUUGA